Molecule: ribosomal RNA, 377 nt
Filed under: uncultured bacterium
Lineage: Bacteria
Description: bacterial SSU rRNA
Rfam family: Bacterial small subunit ribosomal RNA
Source: RNAcentral
AGACAGAGGAGGCAAGCGUUGUUCGGAAUCAUUGGGCUUAAAGGGCGCGUAGGCGGCUUGGUAAGUGUCCUGUGAAAUCCCACGGCUCAACCGUGGAAUUGCAGGGCAAACUGCUUGGCUUGAGACUGGUAGGGGUGCCUGGAACUCUAGGUGGAGCGGUGAAAUGCGUAGAUAUCUAGAGGAACGCCAGUGGCGAAAGCGGGGCACUGGGCCAGUUCUGACGCUGAGGCGCGAAAGCGUGGGGAGCAAACAGGAUUAGAUACCCUGGUAGUCCACGCCGUAAACGAUGCACACUAGAUCUGGAAACCUCUGACGGUGUCCGGGUCCAAGCGAAAGCGUUAAGUGUGCCGCCUGGGGACUACGGCCGCAAGGCUAAA